CGGUGGUGCUUGCACCACCUGAUUAGUGGCGAACGGGUGAGUAACACGUGAGUAACCUGCCCCUCACUUCGGGAUAACCUCGGGAAAUCGUGGCUAAUACCGGAUAUGAGCUCCUGCCGCAUGGUGGGGGUUGGAAAGAUUUAUCGGUGAGGGAUGGACUCGCGGCCUAUCAGUUUGUUGGUGAGGUAAUGGCUCACCAAGACGAUGACGGGUAGCCGGCCUGAGAGGGCGACCGGCCACACUGGGACUGAGACACGGCCCAGACUCCUACGGGAGGCAGCAGUGGGGAAUAUUGCACAAUGGGCGAAAGCCUGAUGCAGCGACGCCGCGUGGGGGAUGACGGCCUUCGGGUUGUAAACCCCUUUCAGUAGGGAAGAAGCGAAAGUGACGGUACCUGCAGAAGAAGCGCCGGCUAACUACGUGCCAGCAGCCGCGGUAAUACGUAGGGCGCAAGCGUUGUCCGGAAUUAUUGGGCGUAAAGAGCUCGUAGGUGGCUUGUCGCGUCUGCCGUGAAAACCCGAGGCUCAACCUCGGGCGUGCGGUGGGUACGGGCAGGCUAGAGUGUGGUAGGGGAGACUGGAACUCCUGGUGUAGCGGUGAAAUGCGCAGAUAUCAGGAAGAACACCGAUGGCGAAGGCAGGUCUCUGGGCCAUUACUGACACUGAGGAGCGAAAGCAUGGGUAGCGAACAGGAUUAGAUACCCUGGUAGUCCAUGCCGUAAACGUUGGGCACUAGAUGUGGGGGGACAUUCCACGUUUUCCGCGUCGUAGCUAACGCAUUAAGUGCCCCGCCUGGGGAGUACGGCCGCAAGGCUAAAACU
This 820-nucleotide ribosomal RNA is filed under the name Brachybacterium faecium. RNAcentral describes it as "bacterial SSU rRNA". It matches the Rfam family "Bacterial small subunit ribosomal RNA", at positions 71 to 901 of the family's 1533-position model. Lineage: Bacteria; Bacillati; Actinomycetota; Actinomycetes; Micrococcales; Dermabacteraceae. The record is from RNAcentral.